AGUGAACGCUGGCGGUAGGCCUAACACAUGCAAGUCGAACGGCAGCACAGUAAGAGCUUGCUCUUACGGGUGGCGAGUGGCGGACGGGUGAGGAAUACAUCGGAAUCUACUUUUUCGUGGGGGAUAACGUAGGGAAACUUACGCUAAUACCGCAUACGACCUACGGGUGAAAGCAGGGGAUCUUCGGACCUUGCGCGGUUGAAUGAGCCGAUGUCGGAUUAGCUAGUUGGCGGGGUAAAGGGCCACCAAGGCGACGAUCCGUAGCUGGUCUGAGGGGAAGGUCAGCCACACUGGAACUGAGACACGGCCCAGACUCUGACGGGAGGACGCAGUGGGGAAUAUUGGGCGAUGGGGGCAAGGCUGAUCCAGCCAUACCGCGUGGGUGAAGAAGGCCUUCGGGUUGUAAAGCCCUUUUGUUGGGAAAGAAAAGCAGCAGGUUAAUACCCCGCUGUUCUGACGGUACCCAAAGAAUAAGCACCGGCUAACUUCGUG
RNAcentral lists this ribosomal RNA (492 nucleotides) under uncultured bacterium. RNAcentral's name for it is "partial 16S ribosomal RNA". It matches the Rfam family "Bacterial small subunit ribosomal RNA", at positions 29 to 507 of the family's 1533-position model. The record is from RNAcentral.